Molecule: ribosomal RNA, 492 nt
Filed under: uncultured bacterium
Lineage: Bacteria
Description: partial 16S ribosomal RNA
Rfam family: Bacterial small subunit ribosomal RNA
Source: RNAcentral
AUUGAACGCUGGCGGUAGGCUUAACACAUGCAAGUCGAACGGCAGCACGGUACGAGCUUGCGCUUACUGGUGGAGGGGGGCGGACGAUUGCGGAACGCAUCGGGAACUGGUGUAUCACGGGGGGAAAGGUAGGGUAAUACCGGAUAAUACCGCCGGCGACCAACGGGUGACCGCACGGCCUCAUGGGACCUGACCCGACGGUAUCAGCCGACGUCGGAUUAGCUAGUUGGUGGGGUAAAGGCCCACCAAGGCGACGAUCCGUAGCUGGUCUGAGAGGACGACCAGCCACACUGGAACUGAGACACGGUCCAGACUCCUACGGGAGGCAGCAGUGGGGAAUUUUGGACAAUGGGCGCAAGCCUGAUCCAGCAAUGCCGCGUGGGUGAAGAAGGCCUUCGGGUUGUAAAGCUCUUUUGUUAGGGAAGAAACGGUAGAGGCUAAUAUCCUGUGGUAAUGACGGUACCUGAAGAAUAAGCACCGGCUAACUACGUG